Molecule: ribosomal RNA, 422 nt
Filed under: Verrucomicrobiota bacterium
Lineage: Bacteria; Pseudomonadati; Verrucomicrobiota
Description: Verrucomicrobia bacterium partial 16S ribosomal RNA
Rfam family: Bacterial small subunit ribosomal RNA
Source: RNAcentral
UGGGGAAUUUUGCACAAUGGGCGCAAGCCUGAUGCAGCGACGCCGCGUGAGGGAUGAAGGCCUUCGGGUUGUAAACCUUUUUCGCUCAUGGUCAAGCCGCAGCUUUGGGCUGUGGUGAGGGUAGUGGGUAAAGAAGCGCCGGCUAACUACGUGCCAGCAGCCGCGGUAAUACGUAGGGCGCGAGCGUUGUCCGGAAUUAUUGGGCGUAAAGGGCUUGUAGGCGGUUGGCCGCGUCUGCCGUGAAAUCCUCUGGCUUAACUGGGGGCGUGCGGUGGGUACGGGUUGACUUGAGUGCGGUAGGGGGGACUGGAAUUCCUGGUGUAGCGGUGGAAUGCGCAGAUAUCAGGAGGAACACCGGUGGCGAAGGCGGGUCUCUGGGCCGUUACUGACGCUGAGGGGCGAAAGCGUGGGGAGCGAACAGG